AGUGAACGCUGGCGGUAGGCCUAACACAUGCAAGUCGAACGGCAGCACAGUAAGAGCUUGCUCUUAAGGGUGGCGAGUGGCGGACGGGUGAGGAAUACAUCGGAAUCUACUUUUUCGUGGGGGAUAACGUAGGGAAACUUACGCUAAUACCGCAUACGACCUACGGGUGAAAGCAGGGGAUCUUCGGACCUUGCGCGAUUGAAUGAGCCGAUGUCGGAUUAGCUAGUUGGCGGGGUAAAGGCCCACCAAGGCGACGAUCCGUAGCUGGUCUGAGAGGAUGAUCAGCCACACUGGAACUGAGACACGGUCCAGACUCCUACGGGAGGCGGCAGUGGGGAAUAUUGGACAAUGGGCGCAAGCCUGAUCCAGCCAUACCGCGUGGGUGAAGAAGGCCUUCGGGUUGUAAAGCCCUUUUGUUGGGAAAGAAAAGCAGCAGGUUAAUACCCCGCUGUUCUGACGGUACCCAAAGAAUAAGCACCGGCUAACUUCGUG
Molecule: ribosomal RNA, 492 nt
Filed under: uncultured bacterium
Lineage: Bacteria
Description: partial 16S ribosomal RNA
Rfam family: Bacterial small subunit ribosomal RNA
Source: RNAcentral